GGGGAAUAUUGCACAAUGGGCGCAAGCCUGAUGCAGCAACGCCGCGUGAGUGAAGAAGUAUUUCGGUAUGUAAAGCUCUAUCGGCAGGGAAGAAAGGCCCUUAACAGGGAGAUGACGGUACCUGACUAAGAAGCCCCGGCUAACUACGUGCCAGCAGCCGCGGUAAUCCGUAGGGGGCAAGCGUUAUCCGGAUUUACUGGGUGUAAAGGGAGCGCAGACGGCAGUGCAAGUCUGAUGUGAAAGCCCGGGGCUCAACCCCGGAACUGCAUUGGAAACUGUACAGCUUGAGUGUCGGAGAGGUAAGCGGAAUUCCUAGUGUAGCGGUGAAAUGCGUAGAUAUUAGGAGGAACACCGGUGGCGAAGGCGGCUUACUGGACGAUUACUGACGUUGAGGCUCGAAAGCGUGGGGAGCAAAC
Molecule: ribosomal RNA, 416 nt
Filed under: uncultured bacterium
Lineage: Bacteria
Description: bacterial SSU rRNA
Rfam family: Bacterial small subunit ribosomal RNA
Source: RNAcentral